CCUACGGGUGGCUGCAGUGAGGAAUAUUGCUCAAUGGACGAGAGUCUGAACCAGCCAAGUAGCGUGAAGGAUGACUGCCCUAUGGGUUGUAAACUUCUUUUAUAUGGGAAUAAAAUGUUCCACGUGUGGGAUUUUGUAUGUACCAUAUGAAUAAGGAUAGGCUAACUCCGUGCCAGCAGCCGCGGUAAUACGGAGGAUCCGAGCGUUAUCCGGAUUUAUUGGGUUUAAAGGGAGCGUAGGUGGAUUGUUAAGGCAGUUGUGAAAGUGUGCGGCUCAACCGUAAAAUUGCAGUUGAAACUGGCGGGCUUGAGUGCAGUAGAGGUGGGUGGAAUUCGUGGUGUAGCGGUGAAAUGCGUAGAUAUCACGAAGAACUCCGAUUGCGAAGGCAGCUCACUGGACUGUAACUGACACUGAGGCUCGAAAGUGUGGGUAGCAAACAGGAUUAGAUACCCGAGUAGUC
Molecule: ribosomal RNA, 460 nt
Filed under: uncultured bacterium
Lineage: Bacteria
Description: partial 16S ribosomal RNA
Rfam family: Bacterial small subunit ribosomal RNA
Source: RNAcentral